Molecule: ribosomal RNA, 462 nt
Filed under: uncultured bacterium
Lineage: Bacteria
Description: bacterial SSU rRNA
Rfam family: Bacterial small subunit ribosomal RNA
Source: RNAcentral
AAUGAACGCUGGCGGCAGGCCUAACACAUGCAAGUCGAACGGAUCCUUCGGGAUUAGUGGCGGACGGGUGAGUAACGCGUGGGAACGUACCCUUUCUUCGGAAUAGCCUCGGGAAACUGGGAGUAAUACCGGAUAAGCCCUAUUGGGGAAAGAUUUAUCGGGAAGGGAUCGGCCCGCGUUGGAUUAGGUAGUUGGUGGGGUAAUGGCCUACCAAGCCGACGAUCCAUAGCUGGUUUGAGAGGAUGAUCAGCCACACUGGGACUGAGACACGGCCCAGACUCCUACGGGAGGCAGCAGUGGGGAAUAUUGGACAAUGGGCGAAAGCCUGAUCCAGCCAUGCCGCGUGUGUGAAGAAGGUCUUCGGAUUGUAGAGCACUUUAAGUUGGGAGGAAGGGCAGUAAGUUAAUACCUUGCUGUUUUGACGUUACCAACAGAAUAAGCACCGGCUAACUUCGUGCCAGC